UACCAGCUCUUCGAGUGGUGUGGAUGUUUAUUGGGCCUAAAGCAUCCGUAGCUGGCUGGGCAAGUCCCCUGUUAAAUCCACCGAUUUAAUCGUUGGAGUGCGGGGGAUACUGUUCGGCUAGGGGACGGGAGAGGCAGACGGUAUUUUCGGGGUAGGGGUGAAAUCCUAUAAUCCCGAGAAGACCACCAGUGGCGAAGGCUGUCUGCUAGAACGCGCCCGACGGUGAGGGAUGAAAGCUGGGGGAGCGAACCGGAUUAGAUACCCGGGUAGUCCCAGCUGUAAACGAUGCAGGCUAGGUGUUCGGACGGCCACGUGCCGUUCUAGUGCCGCAGGGAAGCCGUUAAGCCUGCCGCCUGGGGAGUACGGCCGCAAGGCUGAAACUUAAAGGAAUUGGCGGGGAGCACCACAAGGGGUGAAGCUUGCGGUUU
RNAcentral lists this ribosomal RNA (428 nucleotides) under uncultured archaeon. Its description in RNAcentral is "bacterial SSU rRNA". It matches the Rfam family "Archaeal small subunit ribosomal RNA", at positions 474 to 903 of the family's 1478-position model. The record is from RNAcentral.